GCAUAUCAAUAAGCGGAGGAAAAGAAACCAACAGGGAUUGCCCCAGUAACGGCGAGUGAAGCGGCAACAGCUCAAAUUUGAAAUCUGGCCCCUAGGGUCCGAGUUGUAAUUUGUAGAGGAUGCUUUUGGUGAGGUGCCGCCCGAGUUCCCUGGAACGGGACGCCACAGAGGGUGAGAGCCCCGUCUGGCUGGCCACCGAGCCUCUGUAAAGCUCCUUCGACGAGUCGAGUAGUUUGGGAAUGCUGCUCAAAAUGGGAGGUAUAUGUCUUCUAAAGCUAAAUAUUGGCCAGAGACCGAUAGCGCACAAGUAGAGUGAUCGAAAGAUGAAAAGCACCUUGAAAAGAGGGUUAAACAGUACGUGAAAUUGUUGAAAGGGAAGCGCUUGUGACCAGACUUGGGCGCGGCGAAUCAUCCGGGGUUCUCUCCGGUGCACUUCGCCGUGUUCAGGCCAGCAUCAGUUCGGCGCGGGGGAAAAAGGCUUCGGGAACGUGGCUGCUCCGGCAGUGUUAUAGCCCGUUGCAUAAUACCCUGCGCUGGACUGAGGACCGCGCAUCUGCAAGGAUGCUGGCGUAAUGGUCACCAGCGACCCGUCUUGAAACACGGACC
RNAcentral lists this ribosomal RNA (606 nucleotides) under Trichoderma sp. JCM 28532. RNAcentral describes it as "eukaryotic LSU rRNA". It matches the Rfam family "Eukaryotic large subunit ribosomal RNA", at positions 38 to 667 of the family's 3401-position model. The record is from RNAcentral. Lineage: Eukaryota; Fungi; Ascomycota; Sordariomycetes; Hypocreales; Hypocreaceae. RNAcentral also lists the same sequence under 1 other name.